This 20-nucleotide microRNA is filed under the name Tribolium castaneum (red flour beetle). RNAcentral's name for it is "tca-miR-3852-3p". Lineage: Eukaryota; Metazoa; Arthropoda; Insecta; Coleoptera; Tenebrionidae. The record is from miRBase by way of RNAcentral.
UCUUCUGCGCCAUAAUUGUA